CUACGGGAGGCAGCAGUGAGGAAUAUUGCGCAAUGGGGGAAACCCUGACGCAGCGACGCCGCGUGGAUGAUGAAGGCCUUCGGGUCGUAAAAUCCUGUCAGAUGGAAAGAAGUGUAUAGAUGUUAAUACCAUUUAUAUUUGACGGUACCAUCAAAGGAAGCACCGGCUAACUCCGUGCCAGCAGCCGCGGUAAUACGGAGGGUGCAAGCGUUGUUCGGAAUUACUGGGCGUAAAGCGCGCGUAGGCGGUUUUAUAAGUCAGAUGUGAAAGUCCACGGCUCAACCGUGGAAGUGCAUUUGAAACUGUAUUACUUGAGUACUGGAGGGGGUGGUGGAAUUCCCGGUGUAGAGGUGAAAUUCGUAGAUAUCGGGAGGAAUACCGGUGGCGAAGGCGACCACCUGGCCAGAUACUGACGCUGAGGUGCGAAAGCGUGGGGAGCAAACAGGAUUAGAUACCCUUGUAGUC
Molecule: ribosomal RNA, 465 nt
Filed under: uncultured bacterium
Lineage: Bacteria
Description: partial 16S ribosomal RNA
Rfam family: Bacterial small subunit ribosomal RNA
Source: RNAcentral